GUUCAACGGCCGCGGUAUAAUAACCGUGCAAAGGUAGCGUAAUCACUUGUCUUCUAAAUAGAGACCAGCAUGAAAGGCUAAUUGAGGGUCCGACUGUCUCCUAUGGCUAAUCAAUGAAACUGAUCUCUCAGUCCAAAAGCUGAGAUAAACCCACAAGACGAGAAGACCCUGUGGAACUUAAAACCGCAUGUUAGCCCCCAUAUCAAAAUCCACGGACAAAAGCACCCCGCGCAUAACAUACGAAUUUUAGUUGGGGCAACUAUGGAGAAAAACAAAACCUCCACGAAAAAGGCCACACCCCUGCACAAGGCACACACGCCUAAUGCCCACAAUACAUUGACCCAGUAUAACUGAUAAUCGAACCAAGCUACCCCAGGGAUAACAGCGCCAUCCCCCUCAAGAGUCCAUAUCGACAGGGGGGCUUACGACCUCGAUGUUGGAUCAGGACACCCCGGUGGUGAAGCCGCUACUAAAGGUUCGUUUGUUCAACGAUUAAAGUCCUA
This 503-nucleotide ribosomal RNA is filed under the name Chondrodactylus fitzsimonsi. RNAcentral's name for it is "partial 16S ribosomal RNA". It matches the Rfam family "Bacterial large subunit ribosomal RNA", at positions 1922 to 2598 of the family's 2925-position model. Lineage: Eukaryota; Metazoa; Chordata; Lepidosauria; Squamata; Gekkonidae. The record is from RNAcentral.